GACGAACGCUGGCGGCGUGCUUAACACAUGCAAGUCGAGCGGGUAAGGCCCCUUCGGGGGUACACGAGCGGCGAACGGGUGAGUAACACGUGAGCAACCUGCCCUUCACAGUCGGGAUAACCCCCGGGAACCGGGGCUAAUACCGGAUACGACCACCGACGGCAUCGUCUGGUGGUGGAAAGUUCCGGCGGUGGAGGAUGGGCUUCGCGGCCUAUCAGCUUGUUGGUGGGGUAACGGCCCACCGAAAGGCCGACGACGGGUAGCCCGGCCUGAGAGGGUGACCGGCCACACUGGGACUGAGACACGGCCCAGACUCCUACGGGAGGCAGCAGUGGGGAAUAUUGGACAAUGGGCGAAAGCCUGAUCCAGCAACGCCGCGUGAGGGAUGACGGCCUGGUUGUAA
This 403-nucleotide ribosomal RNA is filed under the name uncultured bacterium. RNAcentral describes it as "bacterial SSU rRNA". It matches the Rfam family "Bacterial small subunit ribosomal RNA", at positions 28 to 428 of the family's 1533-position model. The record is from RNAcentral.